This 88-nucleotide transfer RNA is filed under the name Deltaproteobacteria bacterium. RNAcentral describes it as "tRNA-Leu". It matches the Rfam family "tRNA". Rfam says of the family: Transfer RNA (tRNA) molecules are approximately 80 nucleotides in length. Their secondary structure includes four short double-helical elements and three loops (D, anti-codon, and T loops). The record is from RNAcentral. Lineage: Bacteria; Pseudomonadati; Myxococcota; Myxococcia. RNAcentral also lists the same sequence under 2 other names.
GCCGGCGUGGUGGAACUGGUAGACGCGCGGGACUCAAAAUCCCGUGGGGCCUGGCUCCGUGUCGGUUCGAUUCCGACCGCCGGCACCA